Molecule: ribosomal RNA, 493 nt
Filed under: uncultured bacterium
Lineage: Bacteria
Description: bacterial SSU rRNA
Rfam family: Bacterial small subunit ribosomal RNA
Source: RNAcentral
GAUGAACGCUAGCUACAGGCUUAACACAUGCAAGUCGAGGGGCAGCAUGAACUUAGCUUGCUAAGUUUGAUGGCGACCGGCGCACGGGUGAGUAACACGUAUCCAACCUUCCGUUUACUCAGGGAUAGCCUUUCGAAAGAAAGAUUAAUACCUGAUAGUAUGGUGAGAUUGCAUGAUAGCACCAUUAAAGAUUUAUUGGUAAACGAUGGGGAUGCGUUCCAUUAGGUAGUAGGCGGGGUAACGGCCCACCUAGCCGACGAUGGAUAGGGGUUCUGAGAGGAAGGUCCCCCACAUUGGAACUGAGACACGGUCCAAACUCCUACGGGAGGCAGCAGUGAGGAAUAUUGGUCAAUGGGCGAGAGCCUGAACCAGCCAAGUAGCGUGAAAGGAUGAAGGUCCUACGGAUUGUAAACUUCUUUUAUACGGGAAUAAAGUAUCCUAACGUGUAGGAUUUUGUAUGUACCGUAUGAAUAAGCAUCGGCUAAACUCCGUG